Molecule: ribosomal RNA, 399 nt
Filed under: uncultured bacterium
Lineage: Bacteria
Description: bacterial SSU rRNA
Rfam family: Bacterial small subunit ribosomal RNA
Source: RNAcentral
UGGGGAAUUUUGGACAAUGGGGGCAACCCUGAUCCAGCCAUGCCGCGUGAGUGAAGAAGGCCUUCGGGUUGUAAAGCUCUUUCGGCCGGGAAGAAAUCGCACAGGCUAAUACCCUGUGUGGGUGACGGUACCGGAAUAAGAAGCACCGGCUAACUACGUGCCAGCAGCCGCGGUAAUACGUAGGGUGCGAGCGUUAAUCGGAAUUACUGGGCGUAAAGCGUGCGCAGGCGGUUUAGUAAGACAGGCGUGAAAUCCCCGGGCUCAACCUGGGAACUGCGCUUGUGACUGCUAAGCUAGAGUACGGCAGAGGGGGUGGAAUUCCGACGUGUAGCAGUGAAAUGCGUAGAGAUGUGGAGGAACACCGAUGGCGAAGGCAGCCCCCUGGGCCGAUACUGACGC